This 136-nucleotide ribosomal RNA is filed under the name uncultured bacterium. Its description in RNAcentral is "partial 16S ribosomal RNA". It matches the Rfam family "Bacterial small subunit ribosomal RNA", at positions 370 to 525 of the family's 1533-position model. The record is from RNAcentral.
AAUGGGCGAAGUCUGAUGGAGCACGCCGCGUGCAGGAUGAAUGCCUUCGGGUUGUAAACUGCUUUUAUAUGUGACGAAUAUGACGGUAGCAUAUGAAUAAGGAUCGGCUAACUCCGUGCCAGCAGCCGCGGUAAUA